RNAcentral lists this ribosomal RNA (501 nucleotides) under uncultured bacterium. Its description in RNAcentral is "partial 16S ribosomal RNA". It matches the Rfam family "Bacterial small subunit ribosomal RNA", at positions 30 to 523 of the family's 1533-position model. The record is from RNAcentral.
AUUGAACGCUGGCGGCAGGCUUAACACAUGCAAGUCGAGCGGGGGAAGGUAGCUUGCUACCGGACCUAGCGGCGGACGGGUGAGUAAUGCUUAGGAAUCUGCCUAUUAGUGGGGGACAACAUCUCGAAAGGGAUGCUAAUACCGCAUACGUCCUACGAGAGAAAGCAGGGGAUCUUCGGACCUUGCGCUAAUAGAUGAGCCUAAGUCGGAUUAGCUAGUUGGUGGGGUAAAGGCCUACCAAGGCGACGAUCUGUAGCGGGUCUGAGAGGAUGAUCCGCCACACUGGGGCUGAGACACGGCCCAGACUCCUACGGGAGGCAGCAGUGGGGAAUAUUGGACAAUGGGGGGAACCCUGAUCCAGCCAUGCCGCGUGUGUGAAGAAGGCCUUAUGGUUGUAAAGCACUUUAAGCGAGGAGGAGGCUACUCUAGUUAAUACCUAGGGAUAGUGGACGUUACUCGCAGAAUAAGCACCGGCUAACUCUGUGCCAGCCGCCGCCGUAA